CAGCCGCCGCGGUAAAACCAGCACCUCAAGUGGUCAGGAUGAUUAUUGGGCCUAAAGCAUCCGUAGCCUGCUUUGUUAGUUUUCGGUUAAAUCCAUACGCUCAACGUAUGGGCUGCCGGGAAUACUGCAAAGCUAGGGAGUGGGAGAGGUAGACGGUACUCGGUAGGAAGGGGUAAAAUCCUUUGAUCUAUUGAUGACCACCUGUGGCGAAGGCGGUCUACCAGAACACGUCCGACGGUGAGGGAUGAAAGCUGGGGGAGCAAACCGGAUUAGAUACCCGGGUAGUCCCAGCUGUAGACUAUGCAAACUCAGUGAUGCAUUGGCUUGUGGCCAAUGCAGUGCUGCAGGGAAGCCGUUAAGUUUGCCGCCUGGGAAGUACGUACGCAAGUAUGAAACUUAAAGGAAUUGGCGGGGGAGCAC
RNAcentral lists this ribosomal RNA (420 nucleotides) under uncultured Nitrososphaerota archaeon. RNAcentral's name for it is "bacterial SSU rRNA". It matches the Rfam family "Archaeal small subunit ribosomal RNA", at positions 459 to 879 of the family's 1478-position model. Lineage: Archaea; Thermoproteati; Nitrososphaerota. The record is from RNAcentral.